UGGUGGGUUGCCUUGUCAGGUUGAUUCCGGUAACGAACGAGACCUCAGCCUGCUAAAUAGUCCUAGUUGCUUUUGCAGCUAGCUGACUUCUUAGAGGGACUAUUGGCGUUUAGUCAAUGGAAGUAUGAGGCAAUAACA
This 138-nucleotide ribosomal RNA is filed under the name uncultured eukaryote. Its description in RNAcentral is "partial 18S ribosomal RNA". It matches the Rfam family "Eukaryotic small subunit ribosomal RNA", at positions 1299 to 1458 of the family's 1831-position model. The record is from RNAcentral.